This is a long non-coding RNA of Sinocyclocheilus grahami, 525 nucleotides long. RefSeq lists it as uncharacterized. The record is from RefSeq and is a predicted model, not a curated record. NCBI's taxonomy places the organism in Eukaryota, Metazoa, Chordata, Actinopteri, Cypriniformes, Cyprinidae. The transcript has 3 exons.
UAGGGCAGUAUUUGAUUGUUUGUCGUGAUUGUGAAAAAUGUCACCGGUGUAUGUCAUUCAUACUGCAUCGAUAAUUGCAAUAGUUUGUGGAUGGGAAAUACGCAGCGCUUGUUCAGAAGGUUACCUCAGUGAUGGCAAUAGCAGAUGAACUAAAAAAUAUGAUACAUGAGGAAAAAUAUGCAGAGAUCAGAGCAGAACAAACCAGCCAGGGCAAAAUGAGAAAGCUCUAUGAGGCGCUUAAUGCUGGAGGACACCGAGUGAAAAAUGCCUUUUAUUAUGCUCUGAGAAAUCAUGAACCAUACCUCUUCAGAGAUUUGGGUGGUGAGGCAAUGGAUUACAUCGAUAACAACCAGCUCCAGUUAAACUGAAUACCCCCUGCACCCAAGAAACUGAAGACCCCUGCAACCAAGACAUGGAAACAGACGUCACUUGGAAAAGCUGAAGAUGAAGGAAUGUAAAAAAAAUGCUGUUAAAGGAACAGUUCAAACAAAUUAAAACUGUCAUCAGUUAUUCUCCCUAAUGUUC